GCAAGUCUGGUGCCAGCAGCCGCGGUAAUUCCAGCUCCAAUAGCGUAUAUUAAAGUUGUUGCAGUUAAAAGCUCGUAGUUGGACUUCAAGAAGCGCAUCUGGGCAACCAGUUUGCCUUCUACCAGCCCUAGGCUGUUACUGUGAGAAAAUUAGAGUGUUUCAAGCAGGCUUUUGCAGGAAUACAUUAGCAUGGAAUAACGAAUGUGUCUACAAUUUGGUUGAUUGUAGGUUACAAUUAAUAGGGACAGUUGGGGGCAUUAGUAUUUAAUAGUCAGAGGUGAAAUUCUUGGAUUUGUUAAAGACUAACGUAUGCGAAAGCAUUUGCCAAGGAUGUUUUCAUUAAUCAAGAACGAAAGAUAGGGGAUCAAAGACGAUCAGAUACCGUCGUAGUCCUAUCUAUAACUAUGCCGACUAGGGAUUAGUGCGGUCAGUACCGCAUUAGUACCUUAUGAGAAUCAAAGUCUUGGGUUCUGGGGGAGUAUGGUCGCAGACUGAACUUAAGAAUUG
Molecule: ribosomal RNA, 507 nt
Filed under: uncultured eukaryote
Lineage: Eukaryota
Description: SSU rRNA
Rfam family: Eukaryotic small subunit ribosomal RNA
Source: RNAcentral